Long non-coding RNA from Helicoverpa zea (corn earworm), 931 nucleotides. RefSeq lists it as uncharacterized. NCBI's taxonomy places the organism in Eukaryota, Metazoa, Arthropoda, Insecta, Lepidoptera, Noctuidae. The transcript is spliced from 4 exons. The record is from RefSeq and is a predicted model, not a curated record.
CGUAUAUUUUUUCGAUCAGAAAAACUAGCAAUAGUAAACAAUUAUUUAACGGGCUUCGAAUACUUAGUUAACUUCUUGGUAUCAUUGUUUACGGCAGACGAAUAUCUAAAUAAAUACUGGACAUGUAUAUAUACUUCUACAAAUAAUGUCAAGAAACUCAUGAGAAAAAUGGAACUCUUUGCAAGAUUAUGUGUCGUUUACUCAGUAUUUUUUAGAAUUUAUACAUUUUCUGUGUUUUAUCAAAAUGCUCCGCCCGUAUCUGCCUUCAGUUUUGAAACAUUGGAUAUAGCUGUUUUGGUAUUUUUGAAUAUUGCUAAUGAUAUGAGAAGAAUAAUGACCCUUUUUUGCUUUGUAUUACUUUAUUGUCGAACAAGAGUUAUGAAAAUUGCAUUAAACCCUAUUGAUUUUAAUGAUUCAAUUCGAGACAGAUUUGCUGUUAAUAGAGUUAUUCAAAUGUAUGAGGCGCUUGUUGAUACUUUAAAAUAUAUUGGAUACCCAUUCAAAGUUGCGGUUACAUCUUGUUUGAUUUGUUCGUUAUUAAAAACAAUUUACGAAUUGACUGCAAAGUUAUUACGUAUUAAGCAAUAUAAUGAAAGCAAUAUAAAUGUGAAUUGGAUGUUGAUAUCUGGACAACCAACAUUGUUUUUUAUAACUCUGGCACUGGUCAUGGACUUAACCGUUGACCAUAUUACCGAUAUCCAGGUUAUUUGUGCUCAGAAAAUUAUGAUGUGUAAUAAUGAACGUGAUCGUUUUGGAAUGGAAAGAUUACUAAAGUUACUUGAACACCGUCCACUACGUUACACCAUUUUACGAUUAAAUCUUAUCAAUCUUCGUUGUGUGCUGAGUAGCCUGUCUUUCUUCACCAUUAAUAUAAUUGCCGUACUGCAAAUAAAGAACUUCUACGCUUAGAUCAUCAUCAUCAGCCAUUCAA